This 276-nucleotide ribosomal RNA is filed under the name Aporrectodea longa. RNAcentral's name for it is "partial 12S ribosomal RNA". Lineage: Eukaryota; Metazoa; Annelida; Clitellata; Crassiclitellata; Lumbricidae. The record is from RNAcentral.
ACGCGUCGUAAGCACACCUCUAAAAGUAUAAGUAUGCACUUAUGACAAACUAUAUACGUCAGGUCAAAGUGCAGCUUAUGGGAGGGCGACGAUGGGUUACACCCUUAAUAUAGAUACGAAAUACAGCACCAAAAGCUAUACGAAGGUGGACUUGGACGUAAUAAAGAUACAAAACCAAAAUGAAGACGAAUCUGAGACAUGCACACAUCGCCCGUCACUCUUGCCCAAAGGUGAGAUAAGUCGUAACAAAGUAGGUGUAACGGAAGUUGCACCUGU